UAUCUCUGUAGAGUCUGCAUAUCAAUAAGCGGAGGAAAAGAAACUAACAAGGAUUCCCUUAGUAACGGCGAGUGAAGCGGGAAGAGCUCAAAUUUGAAAUCUUCAAGGUUCUACCUUGACGAAUUGUAGUUUAAAGAAGUGUUUUCUGUUAGAUGAGUAGCAAAAGUUCCUUGGAAUGGGACAUCAUAGAGGGUGAGAAUCCCGUAUUUGGUUAUUCAUUCUAGCUUUGUGAUACACUUUCAAAGAGUCGGAUUGUUUGGGAAUGCAGUCCAAAAUGGGUGGUAAAUUUCAUCUAAAGCUAAAUAUUGGCGAGAGACCGAUAGCGAACAAGUACCGUGAGGGAAAGAUGAAAAGAACUUUGAAAAGAGAGUUAAACAGUACGUGAAAUUGUCAAAAGGGAAGCGUUUGACACCAGUGUUGUUUUUCCGAAAAUCAAUUACGAAUGGCUUGAUUUUGUGUUGUAUUGACCUUAUCAGCUUUCUUCACUUUUUUCAUGUCUUUUCUUAAUGCACUUUUCGUUUAACAAGUCAACAUCAGUUUCUUUUGUUGUAAAAAGGUCAUUCGGAAGGUGGCUUUCUUUUCGGAGAAAGUGUUUAUAGCCCUAUACUUCUACAAUCGGAGAGAUUGAGGUCUGCAGCGUAGAUCCUUCGGGGUUAGAUACACUUGUGCUAAGUUGUAGCUUUUCAUAGACAACUUGUUGACUAUGUUUAGUCAUGCGGCUUACUCGCUUGUGCUAUUUUACCUACGCUUAGGAUGUUGACUGAUAUGUAGUCGU
This 775-nucleotide ribosomal RNA is filed under the name uncultured Neocallimastigales. Its description in RNAcentral is "partial large subunit ribosomal RNA". It matches the Rfam family "Eukaryotic large subunit ribosomal RNA", at positions 24 to 643 of the family's 3401-position model. Lineage: Eukaryota; Fungi; Neocallimastigomycota; Neocallimastigomycetes; Neocallimastigales. The record is from RNAcentral.